Molecule: non-coding RNA, 670 nt
Organism: Ictidomys tridecemlineatus (thirteen-lined ground squirrel)
Lineage: Eukaryota; Metazoa; Chordata; Mammalia; Rodentia; Sciuridae
Source: RefSeq, a predicted model, not a curated record
CAAGGAAGAGGAUAUGCCAGGGUUUCAAUUCCCUCCCAGGUUCACUCUCAUGACCUAACUUCCUAACACGAGGCCUUGCCUUCUGAAAGUUUCAUAACCUCCCAAUAUUGCCACAGGCUGGGGACAAGCUCUUAGCACAAAGACAGCAUGGAAUCGAUUCCAGGACACUCUACUGCAUAUAGAUAAACUCUACUUCUUGCAAAAAACACAUUAUUCAAGAUUCUUCUGUAAGACAAAAAGACAAGAUGUCCUGGAAUCUUCAGGAUACUUUGACAAAAAUACCACAGACUGCCCGGCUUACCAGCAUAUAUUCAUUCCUCACGGUUCUGAAAUCUAGGAAGCCCAAGGUCAAGGCAAUGACACUUCUGAGAUCUGGGGAGCGUCCACUUUCUUGAUGUCAUCAACAGCUGUCAUCAACCCUGACAAACUGAAAUGAGAUCCAGAGAGCUCUCUGGAGUCUUUUGUAAGGGAAUAAAUCCCAUCCAUUAAGGACUCACUUUCAUGGCUUAAUGACCUCCCUAAGGUGCUACCUACUAGUAUCAUCACUGAGGGUGACAACUGUGACGUGUGGAUUUUGUGGAAACACCAUUACUCAGUCCAUAACAUUCCAUCCCUGUCCUCCCCAAAUCUAUGUCCUUGUGUCAUACAAAAUACAUUCAUUCUAUGAGAA